RNAcentral lists this ribosomal RNA (253 nucleotides) under uncultured bacterium. RNAcentral describes it as "partial 16S ribosomal RNA". It matches the Rfam family "Bacterial small subunit ribosomal RNA", at positions 524 to 776 of the family's 1533-position model. The record is from RNAcentral.
UACGGGGGGGGCAAGCGUUGUUCGGAAUUACUGGGCGUAAAGGGUUCGUAGGCGGCCUACUAAGUCAGACGUGAAAUCCCUCAGCUUAACUGGGGAACUGCGUCUGAUACUGGGGGGCUUGAGUGCAGGAGAGGAACGCGGAAUUCCAGGUGUAGCGGUGAAAUGCGUAGAUAUCUGGAGGAAUACCGGUGGCGAAGGCGGCGUUCUGGACUGCAACUGACACUGAUGAACGAAAGCCAGGGGAGCAAACGGG